AUGGUUUUUAAGUUAGACUUCAGAAAAGCUUUCGACUCAGUGGCAUGGCCUGCCCUCGACAAAAUUCUGGCAGUUCGCGGGCUCUCACUAAUCUUCCGCAGUUGUAUCCAAAAUCUUCUCCACACAGGCAAAACGGCAGUACUUCUGAACGGGAUUCCGGGCAAAUGGAUUCAAUGCAAAAAUGGACUGAGACAAGGGGACCCAGCCUCUCCCUACCUCUUCCUUAUCGUAGCCGAUCUUCUUCAGCAGCUCAUCCUCCAGAACUCUGACCCGUCUCUCCACCACCCCAUCUUCUCCCACCUGCCUCCUGCCCUCCCACUGUCCUCCAAUACGCCGAUGACACGCUCAUUGUCGCCGCCGCCUCUCCCGCCGCCGCCUCAACCCUUAAAGUUAUCCUAA
RNAcentral lists this ribosomal RNA (399 nucleotides) under Triticum aestivum (bread wheat). Its description in RNAcentral is "partial small subunit ribosomal RNA". The record is from RNAcentral. Lineage: Eukaryota; Viridiplantae; Streptophyta; Magnoliopsida; Poales; Poaceae.